GCAGUCCAUGGGACUCUCAAGAGUCUCCUCCAGCACCGUAAUUCAAAAGCUGGAGGAGACUCUUGAGAGUCCCAUGGACUGC
Molecule: non-coding RNA, 82 nt
Organism: Podarcis lilfordi (Lilford's wall lizard)
Lineage: Eukaryota; Metazoa; Chordata; Lepidosauria; Squamata; Lacertidae
Source: the annotation of a GenBank genome assembly